AAAAAAACUAACUAAAACCUCAGAAAACCCUGACGCAGAAAACAAGCCGCACUUGAACGGUGCUACCACAGCCCUCAGUUCCACCGUAUCAAUCAUGGGUAGCCAAGGCGCUGUUUCCUUAUUGAACAAUGUCGCACGCGCCGCCUUGGGUCUCGGCGUAGCCGCCACGGCUCUCAACUCAUCUCUCUACACCGUCGACGGCGGCCAGCGCGCCGUCAUCUUCGACCGCAUCCGUGGAAUUCUCGACGAAACCGUUGGCGAAGGCACCCAUUUCCUCAUCCCGUGGCUCCAAAAGCCUUUCAUCUUCGACAUCCGCACGAAGCCCCACACUUUCUCCUCCGUCUCCGGCACUAAGGACCUCCAGAUGGUCAACCUAACCCUCCGCGUUCUCUCGCGCCCCGAGGUCACGCGCCUCCCUCAGAUCGUCCAAACCCUAGGCCUCGAGUACGACGAGAAGGUCCUCCCUUCGAUCGGCAACGAGGUCUUGAAGGCCGUCGUGGCUCAGUUCAACGCCGAUCAGCUCCUCACCGAGCGCCCGCAGGUCUCGGCGCUCGUGCAGAGCGGGCUCACCGAGCGCGCCAGGAACUUCAACAUCGUGCUCGACGACGUGGCGAUCACGCACCUGUCGUACGGCGCGGAGUUCUCGCGCGCCGUGGAGCAGAAGCAGGUGGCGCAGCAGGAGGCGGAGAGGUCGAAGUUUGUGGUGGCGAAGGCGGAGCAGGAGAGGCGCGCCGCCAUCAUUAGGGCCGAGGGAGAGAGCGAGUCGGCGAAGAUGAUAUCGGAGGCUACCGAGAAGGCUGGAACGGGACUCAUUGAGCUCAGGAAGAUUGAGGCCAUGAGGGAGAAUGCCGCCACGCUUGCUAAGUCCCCGAAUGUCUCUUACUUGCCUGGUGGCCAGAAGCUUCUCAUGGCUCUCAAUGCCAACCGUUGAGAGCUAAGGGUCUCAUGGCAUGGCAUAAAAGCAUGAUGAGUCUGCUAUUGGAUAGGGUUGCAAGCCUGCAAAUUAGCUCAAGUUUGGGUUGAUCUAAAAUACAAUGGCUUGAUGUCCAUUUGAGCUCUGAAAUCCAGGUCCGUUCAACUUCAGCUAGAUGUGAGCUUUAUCAAGCUCACCUAAGACUGGACAAACCCAAACCCCAAUGAACAAAACUGUAAGCUCAUGUUUUUUUGUUCCAUUUUCAUAGCAUAGCAAGAAGGAUGCUGAUGUGCUUGCACCUCUUUUUCUUUGAAUGAAAGCUGAUGAAAAAAACUAUUUUUCAGACAACGGAGUUAAUGUGGCCUCGCAAAUCAAAACAGAAAAGUAGUAUCAGAUUUAUGUUUCUAAAGCUUUAGAUAACCUCCCAAAAGAUGUUUGGCAGUUGUAGGCCUUAUGGUCAGUAGUACUGAUUCCGUGGGCUUGAAGAAGAGGAUGAAAGUGCUGAUUAAUGGGCAUGCUGUUGAUUCUGUGGUGGCUUCACAAGUAUCCAAUCUUCAACCUCACAAACCCAAGCUUUUGACAUGAGGAAAACUACUUUGCUUCAAAGGAUCACAAUCUUCUCUCUCGGCUAAAAUUUUGGUUUUUGAACAAAUGUAAUUGUCAAAAGCAAAGUAUGUAUGAUAAAAUAUUUUAGUACUAGUGUUGGAACUGCCUUUUGAGUAAAAGUAAAUCUUUGCCUAUUGUUAA
This is an RNA transcript of Quercus robur (English oak), 1660 nucleotides long. It is a transcript of the gene named prohibitin-3, mitochondrial-like, with no coding region annotated. The transcript is spliced from 5 exons. The record is from RefSeq and is a predicted model, not a curated record. NCBI's taxonomy places the organism in Eukaryota, Viridiplantae, Streptophyta, Magnoliopsida, Fagales, Fagaceae.